This 238-nucleotide unclassified non-coding RNA is filed under the name Rhizophagus sp. (in: glomeromycetes). RNAcentral's name for it is "partial contains 5.8S ribosomal RNA and internal transcribed spacer 2". The stretch from base 1 to 71 matches the Rfam family "5.8S ribosomal RNA", at positions 84 to 154 of the family's 154-position model. Lineage: Eukaryota; Fungi; Glomeromycota; Glomeromycetes; Glomerales; Glomeraceae. The record is from RNAcentral.
GUGAAUCAUCAAAUUUUUGAACGCAAAUUGCGCUUCCUGGCAUCCCGGGAAGUAUGCCUGUUUGAGGGUCAGUAUUAACAAAAAAAUCGGGUUGGGUGCAAAUUGUGACGUUUCCGGAGUUUGGGCUAUCUUAACUUUUUUGGUUAAGGGGCUUAAAAUGGACCUUUUUUGCGCAUGUUUAGACGUACAUAAAUUUUUUUUUUGGUUGGUUGUUUUUAAUGCCAAAAAUUUAUUAGUU